This 25-nucleotide microRNA is filed under the name Macaca mulatta (Rhesus monkey). RNAcentral's name for it is "mml-miR-7205-5p". Lineage: Eukaryota; Metazoa; Chordata; Mammalia; Primates; Cercopithecidae. The record is from miRBase by way of RNAcentral.
UCGAGGGGCGUCGGGGCCAGGGAAG